CAUCCCCUGCGGUGUUCGAUCUCAGGCCGAGUUAUCUUGAGCCUCAGAGCAAUGCCCAAGGGACCGGGCGUGGGUUGACCGGUGUGCAUGUCCGCCGCGAGCGGAAAGCCUAAGGCAGCUCCCCCCGUCCCUACCUGAACCGAAGGGUUCAAGGGCAGGCCUGUACGGCAUGCGCGGGGGGUGU
Molecule: non-coding RNA, 184 nt
Filed under: Halorhodospira halophila
Lineage: Bacteria; Pseudomonadati; Pseudomonadota; Gammaproteobacteria; Chromatiales; Ectothiorhodospiraceae
Also listed under: 1 other name
Description: 6S RNA
Rfam family: 6S / SsrS RNA
About the family: E. coli 6S RNA was the first non coding RNA to be sequenced, but its function was unknown until recently.
Source: RNAcentral